Molecule: ribosomal RNA, 492 nt
Filed under: uncultured bacterium
Lineage: Bacteria
Description: partial 16S ribosomal RNA
Rfam family: Bacterial small subunit ribosomal RNA
Source: RNAcentral
AGUGAACGCUGGCGGCAGGCCUAACACAUGCAAGUCGAACGGCAGCACAGUAAGAGCUUGCCCUUACGGGUGGCGAGUGGCGGACGGGUGAGGAAUACAUCGGAAUCUUCUUUUUCGUGGGGGAUAACGUAGGGAAACUUACGCUAAUACCGCAUACGACCUACGGGUGAAAGCAGGGGAUCUUCGGACCUUGCGCGAUCGAAUGAGCCGAUGUCGGAUUAGCUAGUUGGCGGGGUAAAGGCCCACCAAGGCGACGAUCCGUAGCUGGUCUGAGAGGAUGAUCGGCCACACUGGAACUGAGACACGGUCCAGACUCCUACGGGAGGCAGCAGUGGGGAAUAUUGGGCAAUGGGCGCAAGCCCGAUCCAGCCAUCCCGCGUGGGUGAAGAAGGCCUUCGGGUUGUAAAGCCCUUUUGUUGGGAAAGAAAAGCAGCAGGUUAAUACCCCGCUGUUCUGACGGUACCCAAAGAAUAAGCACCGGCUAACUACGCG